Molecule: ribosomal RNA, 492 nt
Filed under: uncultured bacterium
Lineage: Bacteria
Description: partial 16S ribosomal RNA
Rfam family: Bacterial small subunit ribosomal RNA
Source: RNAcentral
AGUGAACGCUGGCGGUAGGCCUAACACAUGCAAGUCGAACGGCAGCACAGUAAGAGCUUGCUCUUACGGGUGGCGAGUGGCGGACGGGUGAGGAAUACAUCGGAAUCUACUUUUUCGUGGGGGAUAACGUAGGGAAACUUACGCUAAUACCGCAUACGACCUACGGGUGAAAGCAGGGGAUCUUCGGACCUUGCGCGAUUGAAUGAGCCGAUGUCGGAUUAGCUAGUUGGCGGGGUAAAGGCCCAUCAAGGCGACGAUCCGUAGCUGGUCUGAGAGGAUGAUCAGCCACACUGGAACUGAGACACGGUCCAGACUCCUACGGGAGGCAGCAGUGGGGAAUAUUGGACAAUGGGCGCAAGCCUGAUCCAGCCAUACCGCGUGGGUGAAGAAGGCCUUCGGGUUGUAAAGCCCUUUUGUUGGGAAAGAAAAGCAGAAGGUUAAUACCCCGCUGUUCUGACGGUACCCAAAGAAUAAGCACCGGCUAACUUCGUG